Molecule: ribosomal RNA, 245 nt
Filed under: uncultured Syntrophus sp.
Lineage: Bacteria; Pseudomonadati; Thermodesulfobacteriota; Syntrophia; Syntrophales; Syntrophaceae
Description: partial 16S ribosomal RNA
Rfam family: Bacterial small subunit ribosomal RNA
Source: RNAcentral
UACGGGGGGUGCAAGCGUUGUUCGGAAUUAUUGGGCGUAAAGAGCGUGUAGGCGGCUUGAUAAGUCAGAUGUGAAAGCCCUGGGCUUAACCCAGGAAGUGCAUUUGAAACUGUCUCGCUAGAGUAAGGAAGGGGGAAGUGGAAUUCCUGGUGUAGAGGUGGAAUUCGUAGAUAUCAGGAGGAACACCGGUGGCGAAGGCGACUUCCUGGUCCUAUACUGACGCUGAGACGCGAGAGCGUGGGUAG